Xenia sp. Carnegie-2017 is the source of this 1072-nucleotide long non-coding RNA. RefSeq lists it as uncharacterized. The record is from RefSeq and is a predicted model, not a curated record. Lineage: Eukaryota; Metazoa; Cnidaria; Anthozoa; Malacalcyonacea; Xeniidae. The transcript is spliced from 2 exons.
GUCGAACCUAUAAAAUAAAUAAAUAUUUAAUGCUCUUUAUUGUACUAAAUAUUGCUGGAAAAUGUUUGUAGAUGUAUUGUAUCAACAUUGGAUGAGAAAGUUGGAUUUUCGUAAUUCAUUUUACAUUUAAGAGUUUUCUUUAUUCUGAUUGGUUGAGCAAGUGGUCUGUGGGCCUCUUAUAGUUAAAAUUAAUCGAGAUUGAGAUUACAUCGUAGGUUGGUUGAAAAAACAGACACAUACACAAAACGUUGGAGGCGUAUCGUUUUCCAUGUAGAUUGGAUGAAGCAAUUGAAUAAAACUUAAAACGACAAGCUUGCGAUUUUGUGUAAAAUCAAUGGAUUGCGUUUGUUCUAAAAUUGUUGUAAAGAAACGUAGGAUUAAAAUCAUCGUUACCGGUAAUUUAAUCUACCCGUGAAAUUCUACACGUCAUAAUCUACCAGUACCAAGAGCAGUAUUCGGCCGGUAUCAGAAGAUAAUAGCCUUAGCUUCCAGUUGACCAAUUUCAUCAAAAAUAGACUUUGCCUCCAGGUCAUUUUUGUGACCUAGUAAAAACUUCCCCACACAGAUCUUGAAGACGAUAACCAAGAAAGUUCAGCAGAGCCCAGCAUCAACGAGAAUAUUGACAGAACAAAACAUACAGCAAUUGAAACAACAGCGAUUUUGAACUAUAAAAAAAGAACAACGAGUGUUUAAAAUGACGACGAUCAUACGUGUCAACAAAUAGCCAUAACUUACAAAUAACGGUUUCUCAUAUAAUACAGCAACGAUUCCCAACAGAGCACUAAGCAUCAGCUAUAAUAAAACAACAACAGAUCAUUAUUAAAAUGAAUUUAUUAUCAAAAAACUACUUUAAGAGCAGAAUAUGAAUGCAUUAUUUACUAUUUAUACUUGAAUGUGCAUUUAAGCGUAAACUCCUCAACAAUGUGGACGUGAUUUAUUUGUGUAAAAGAUACGAAGAUGAUUUUGUUAACAAAGCGAAGUUAUUACAGCAAAGGUUCAAGAAUGUUCUUAUAACUGUUACAUAAAAAAAUAAACGCCGCAGAUCGUUAAAUCGCUUCUGCUAAGACAGUAA